RNAcentral lists this non-coding RNA (29 nucleotides) under Mus musculus (house mouse). The record is from RNAcentral. Lineage: Eukaryota; Metazoa; Chordata; Mammalia; Rodentia; Muridae.
UCUUCUUGUUUCAAACUCGAGUUGUUUGC